This 468-nucleotide ribosomal RNA is filed under the name uncultured bacterium. RNAcentral describes it as "partial 16S ribosomal RNA". It matches the Rfam family "Bacterial small subunit ribosomal RNA", at positions 28 to 507 of the family's 1533-position model. The record is from RNAcentral.
GACGAACGCUGGCGGCGUGCUUAACACAUGCAAGUCGAACGGAAAGGCCCUGCUUUUGUGGGGUGCUCGAGUGGCGAACGGGUGAGUAACACGUGAGUAACCUGCCCUUGACUUUGGGAUAACUUCAGGAAACUGGGGCUAAUACCGGAUAGGAGCUCCUGCUGCAUGGUGGGGGUUGGAAAGUUUCGGCGGUUGGGGAUGGACUCGCGGCUUAUCAGCUUGUUGGUUGGGUAGUGGCUUACCAAGGCUUGGACGGGUAGCCGGCCUGAGAGGGUGACCGGCGACAUGGGGACUGAGAUACGGCCCAGACUCCUACGGGAGGCAGCAGUGGGGAAUAUUGCACAAUGGGCGGAAGCCUGAUGCAGCAACGCCGCGUGCGGGAUGACGGCCUUCGGGUUGUAAACCGCUUUCGCCUGUGACGAAGCGUGAGUGACGGUAAUGGGUAAAGAAGCACCGGCUAACUACGUG